Molecule: non-coding RNA, 9333 nt
Organism: Xyrichtys novacula (pearly razorfish)
Lineage: Eukaryota; Metazoa; Chordata; Actinopteri; Labriformes; Labridae
Source: the annotation of a GenBank genome assembly
CCUCCCUAACUCAGCUCCUCCCAGGGGUAUAAGUAGCAGAGAGGGAGGGGAGAAGGUGUGGAGUGGGUUUAACACAGCUGAGUCCUGUUUUCACCAAUCACAUCAGCUCCUCUCCUCACCUUUAAAUCCGCCACCGGCGAGGGCUAUUACAAUUUUCGUGAAGUAGUCGAAGAGAUUAAGAGAUGGCUGAAGACAGCAAUGCCACACAAUGGUGACAGAAGGCAGCCCCUCAACAAGUGUCACUGUAAGCGCUGUGGAGAGAGGACACUCUCAAAUAAGCACAGAGGGAUUUGGUGUGUGUAAGCUUGUACCCACUGGUAAGACAAACAUCCUUUUCCACAAAUAAAGACACUAAUAUAAAGUUUCAUAUAUUUAAAUCCACGUGACAAAGGCGGAUUGUGCGCACAGAUCACAACAUAAACAAAUUCCAACAAUGGCAUUAAAACCAAAAUCACCUGUGCAUAAAGGAAGCAUCGUGCUCUGUGGACUCGCUCCGUCAGACUACGAAAAUACCAAACUGGCUGUGCAACCGGCUCUGCCAGAUGAAAAUACCACUGCGUGGGGUGCGCCACCCUCAUCCGUGCCGCGGGCAGGCACGAAAAUAGAGCCCUUUCUCUUAAUUGCUAGUAGGUAAUACCUGAUAAUAACUAAAAAAAGUUAAUUAAUAUCAGUUAGUAACUUUUACUCAUCCAGAUAAGGUAAGAUUUACCUCCCAAAAAGACUUUCAGAUGGUAAUCAUUUCAAUAUUUUUAACAUAUAAAAUCCUACCAAGAAACAAAACAGAGUAAAGUGCAAGAGAGAAACACACAUUUCAAGAAAUGAACCCAUUUUAUCAUUCACAAAGAUAACUGCUUCAAAUGCUGCUUUUGGAUAAUUGACUAAUACACACAUGCAAACUCUACAAGGUCGUUCCUGUGCAUGUACAGUAUCAAACAUCUGGAUAGGGAUAGAACAGAUGAACACCAACAAAGUUCGUUUAGGUGCUUGCUGUCACUCUCAAAGAUAGUAUGAGAAAAAAGAAACAAACAAAUGGGGAGGGGAAGAGGAGGGUAUAGAGGUGGAGAUCAAAUUUCUUUAGGUUACACUCAGUGGUAUUGACCAGACUGGCCACUUUCUAUCAGUGUUCCUUUUCUGUCAAUCUGAGUAAAUCAGAGAGCAAUGGAAUGGGCUGAAAGAGGCUGUGACAUGUAUCCAUCUGUACAUACAUAUUGAUAUAUUUGUGUGUGUGGGUGUGUCUGUGUGUGGAGCAAAGGAGGUGUAGUAUCUGAGGUAUUUGAGUGACACAGCUCCACCACUCUAAAGGCUGACAUGACUGGCUAAAGAAACUCAUCCUAACAGGAGGGAAGAGUAGAAAAAUAAAAAACUACACUCCAUCACAACUCCAUCUAGCUAUGUCCAGACAAAACAUCCUCUAAGAACAAGAGAGAAAAUGUGUGUCAAUUGCAUGAGCUUAUUUUUGAGGCUGUGGACCUUCUUCAGUAGUUUUGCUCCUUCAAAUGUGUUCUUCAGCUGCUUUUGAUAUUUGAGGUACAGGGCAUAUAUCAGUCCCAUCAGCAGUACACACUCCUUUGUUCAGUUCCCACAUCCUUCCAUCACUCAAAUUUUUGAGCGUCCCGCUCUUUCUGAUUGUAAACUAAGACGUUUUCCACCUCCCCGACCUGACUGGUUGUAAGGCAGAUGCUGCUCCCUCAUGAUGUAAGGUACGCUCCACGUCCUCAAAUAACGUUCACAAGCCCAAACAAAGUUAGCAUGCUACAGUAUCGGACAGUAGAACGCAUCCAGAAAAUACAGAAAAUUUUCGGAAUCCUACUUUGGCCACGACUGCCAACACAAGCAAGAAAUAAAGGAAAUACCGGUGACUCUGGCGGAAUAAUGGGUGCUUAAAACAGAGGUAGACCACCCGGACAAGAGCUAAAAAGCUGGGUCAACAUCAAUGAAGCAUAAAUGUUCGAGAUCUUGGUGACCCUGUAACCUUUCUGCUGGACCUUAGAGGGUAGACAUCUGUUGACUAUUGCAUCCUAAUUGUUUUAUUGCCUAGGAGAGCUCAUCUCGCCUCUAGUAAUGAUGUAGCCAGAGUCAUAGAAUGGACUAUAAGAAUGGGCUGCAACCAUUGCUCAGUGGGCACAACCAUGGGGCUGCUUGACUGCCAUGUGGUUCUGUAUUGUGUCCCCUCUUUAUAUCUCUCUAUAGAGAAUAAAAUCAUUGCACAUGAUAAUUCUUUGGUCUUGUUUUCUCACUCUCCCAGGCAGGCUAAAUUUUCUGCAACAAAAUACAUCUCAGUUUAUCUUGCAGAGUUAAGGAUAGCAGAGGGGAGUGGACAGAAGACGGAAGGAGAAGGGGAGAAGAGGGAUACCAGACAAGAGCUGAGUAGAGAGCACAGAACCCCCCCCCCCCCCAAUAGUCCAUAUGCCGAGAAGAGAAGAAAGAGAAGAUAGCAGUGCAGAGGAGAGGAGAUAGGGAGGAAAAGAGAGGAGAGAGCAGAGGAGAGAAGAAAAGAGAGGAGAGGAGAAGAGAAGAAAGAGAGCAGAGAAGAGAAGAAAAGAGAGGAGAGGAGGCAGCAGCGCAGAGGAAGAGCAGAAGAAAGGAGAAGAGAUGACAGGAGAGAGCACAGCAGAGGAGAGGAGAAGAAAAGAGAGGAGAGUUGAGGAAGACAUGAGGAUCCCUUGCGUUAAUCAAUCAUGUGUUAUCAAUAUAAUAUACCAGGCAGUCAUGGACUAGAUCUUGUCUUUCACCAAGAUAGUCAAUGAGGUAGCAGACAACCGCAUCCCUUUUUUCCUCAAUGCUCUGUGUCUGGAGGGAGAUACAAUUUAGUGAAAAGAAAAUUAGUGUUACUCAGUGAUUUACAUACACUAAGACCGAAUCCCUUUAAAACUAAAACAUAUUUCACAGAUUGAUGUUAAACUAUGGUUUGUUAAGUUGGUAAGGAGCUCAACUUUGUGCACAGCAAAGCAAUUGUUUACAAAUUAUUUGGAAACAAGUGUUCUUUUCCAUUUUGUCUGCCAGGUCUUUCCCCUCCUCUAGCCACUCGCUCAGUUGCCCAAGUGACUUAGAUGAAUAACUAAUCAUAUAUCUAUAUGUCCAUCUAUCUUUCUUUCUAUUUAUCUAUAUGUUAAAACUUAAAAUAACAGAGUACAAAGAUAUAAAAUAAUACAGAAAAAAGAGGGGAAGAAGAGGGAGGGAGAAGAACACAAAAAUGACAAAAAAAUAAAAAGAGAGAAGAUAUGAGAAAUUGGCUCUUAGGAGAACUGUUGGUUUUUUGAUAUUUAGAGUAUCACUGGACACUUUGCUUGGUCCUGUCAUAUUUGCUUCCCGUCUGCCCUGCCCCUAUCCUGUCACACCUGCUCCCUGAUUGUUUCUUCCCACCUGUGCCUCAUCAGCCCUCAUUACCUCUUGUAUUUAACCCCAUGUCUCUCACUGUCUUGUUGCCAGUUCGUUGCACUUUAUAGUCCUUGUCCCAGCCUUUUUUUCCCCCACAGGCAUAGCUUCUUGUUUCCUGAAACUUGCUUGAUUUUAGAUCUUGCCUUUUUUGCCUGCCGAUUUUGAUACCUUUGCCUGUUUGGAUUGGUCUCUUGUGUACUGACCUCCGCAUGUUUCUGAUUAAACCCUUUUUGCCUCUGACCUCUGCUUCAGUGUCUGCCUUUGUGUCCUCCUGCUCUGAGCCGUUCUUUACAGGUCCUCAAAAAUCUAAAAAAUAGAGCACAUAUUAACUUUUCACAUAUAUAAACAAUUAAGAAAAUGCACAAUAGAAAUAGUAAACUAAAAUAGCGCUCAAACAGGACUAAGCUGUGUGAGAACUCAUCAAAAAUACCAGGACUCAAUAUUAACACGUCAGGAUUGGUCAUAGACUCAUCCAUUGCCAGUAAUGCCAAUUAAUCUGAACAUAUAGAGUUUUUACUAGUUGCAGGGGCCUGUCAUCUUAGAUAGGUGACAACCAACUUCAAAUCUUGCCUCAUAAUUCUACAAAAAAAAACUCUGUAUUCCUUUUAACUAGGAAUAAUAACUUCAGAUAAUAUAAGUAAAAUCUGCUGUGAUAGUUGAUAUGCUUUUGACCUGUGGUUUUCAAAAUAUUGGUAUCCAGAGUAAACUAGAGGGCAAGCUAAAACCCUAAGGCACACCAGUAAACAAUCCGUGUAAACCAGCUUUUAGCAUGUUACCUAAUCACUCUGUGCAUGUGUAUUUAUAAUACUACUACUACUACUACUAAUAAUAAUAAUAAUAAUAAUAAUAAUAAUAAUAAUAAUAACUUUAUUUGUAUAGCACUUUUUAAAAAACAGAUGUUUACAUAGUGCUUUGACAUGUAGUCGUAGAGCAUAUAGAAAAAUAAAAACAAAAAGCUCAGUAAAAACGGAAUUGAAAGCCAUUUUCAUGUCAUAAGGUACCCAGACAAUACAAGAACCAUGCAACUUAAAAUGAGAUAGUAAAUAUAAAAGGCAAUAUCAACACUGACAAUAAAAUAAUAACACUGAUAAUACUUAAAAUAAAAGUAAUGAUAAAAUAGAGCAAAAGAAAUAAGCAAGAGAUAAAACAAUAAAAGGUCUAAAAGGUUAAUUAAGAAACAAGUACAAAUAUAACAAAAGCUAAAAAGACAGUAAAACUGAAAUAAGAUGGAGGUAAAAGAGAUGACAGAUAAAAUAUAAAAGAUGGCAUCACAUAAAAGCAAGUCUGUAAAAGUGAGUUUUUAAAUUCAACUUAGAAGAAAUGACUGUCUCUGCACGCCUAAUCUCCUCUGGCAGGUCGUUCCAAAGUCAAGGAGCUCUAAUGGAGAAAGCUCUGUCACCUUUAGUUUUGAUUCACCACUUUGGAACGACCAAGAGGCCUUCGCCAGAGGAUCUGGAUCUGCCAGUUGGCUCAUAUGGUAUUAAAAGCUCUGAAAUGUAGCUCGGAGCAAGUCUUUUGAGUGCUUUAAAAGUAAUCAAUAAAACCUUAAAAUCAAUUCUAAAACUGACAGGAAGCCAGUGAAGGGAGGCUAAAAUUGGAGUGAUGUGAUGCUACGAAAACCAGUUAAAAGCCGAGCUGCUGCAUUCUGAACAAGUUGGAGAGUGAUUUCUUGAAAUUUCCUGAAGGAGAUUUUGUGCCAUCCAACUUUUAAUGUCACUUAGUCCAUGACAGUAGCUCGGCUUCUUGGGUCCUCAGGUCUCAAAGGAAGGUAUAUAAUAACCCGCUCGUAACUUUGGACGGAUUUCAUCUCAUCAGAGCUGACCGGAGCGUGAAGGAGAGUGGUAAGAAGAAAGGAGGCGGGAUAGCGGUGUAUGUGAAUGAGAGAUGGUGUAAUGCUGGGCACGUCAGUGUUAAAGAGCAGCGCUGCUCUAAGGACAUUGAGCUGCUGGCUGUGAGUUUGCGGCCAUAUUACCUGCCGAGGGACUUUUCACACGUCAUCGCGUUAACUGUUUACAUCCCCCCCUCAGCUGAUGCUGCUGCAGCCUGUGAACUCCUCCAUAGUGAAGUGUCCAAGCUACAAACAUCACACCCUCAGUCUCUGAUCAUCAUCUCUGGAGACUUUAAUCAUGUAUCGCUCUCCUCUACUCUCCCUACCUUCAGCCAGUACGUGGAAUGCCCAACAAGAGACAAUAAAACUUUGGACUUACUGUAUGCAAACACCAAGGAUGCAUACACCUCCUCCCCUCUCCCCCCGCUGGGCCGCUCAAAUCACAGCCUGGUGAGACUGCAGCUCAUUUACAUACCUAUGGUGAAGAAACAACCCCCCACCAUCAGGUAUGUUAAGAGGUGGUCUGAGGAGGCCACUGAGGCGCUGCAGGACUGUUUUGAGACCACAGACUGGGAUGUACUGUGCGGCCCACAUGGUGAUGACACAGACACCAUGACAGAUUGUAUCACAGACUAUAUAAACUUCUGUGUUGAGAACACCGUACCCACCAGGAAAGUACGGUGUUUCUCCAACAGCAAACCUUGGGUGACCCCGGAACUUAAAGUCCUCCAGACUCCUGAAGGACUGUGCAGACCAGCUCUGUGAGGUGCUACUGCACAUCUUCAGCUUGAGCCUGAGUCUGGAGAGGGUCCCAGCACUGUGGAAGACUUCCUGCGUGAUUCCUGUCCCCAAGACAGCACACCCCAGGGAGCCCAACCACUUCAGACCUGUGGCCCUCACUUCUCACCUGAUGAACACUCUGGAUAGGAUCGUGCUGAGGGACCUCCGCCUCCUGGUGAGCUCUCAUCUGGAUCCUCUGCAGUUUGCGUACCAGCCGAACAUCGGAGUGGACAACGCUGUCAUCUACCUGCUGCAGAGGUCCAUGGCUCACUUGGAGAACACCGGCAGCACUGUGAGGGUCAUGUUUUUUGACUUCUCCAGUGCUUUCAACACCAUCCGGCCUUCACUGCUCAGGGGGAAGCUCGAGAGGGCGGGAGUGGACUGUCACCUAGCCGCAUGGACCGUGGACUACCUCACCAACAGACCACAGUUUGUGAGGCUUCAGAACUGUGUGACGGACAUGGUGGUCUGCAGCACGGGGGCUCCACAGGGGACAGUGCUCUCCCCCUUCCUCUUCACCCUGUACACCUCGGACUUCAGCUACAACUCUGGGAGCUGUCACCUCCAGAAAUUCUCCGAUGACACAGCCAUCGUCGGAUGUGUAUCGUCAGGGGAUGAGCGGGAAUACAGGACUGUCAUCACUGACUUUGUCAACAGGUGUGGCACAAACCACCUCCAGCUAAACAUCAGCAAGACAAAGGACAUGGUCAAGGAUUUCUACAGGAGGAGGACACCUUAGACUGUUCCACUGAACAUCCAGGGUCUGGACAUCGAGAUGGUGGAGUCCUACAGAUUCCUGGGUGUCCACCUCAACAAUAAAGUGGACUGGUCAACAAACACAGACGUCUUGUACAAGAAGGACUCCCUGGAGGAGGUGAGUGAGAGGAGGAUGUUAGCAAAGCUUGUAUCCAUCAUGGAUAAUCCCUCUAACCCACUGCACCAGACUGUGGGGGCUUCAAGCAGCUCCUUCAGCAGCAGACUCCCACCUUGCAAGAUGGAGCGCUACCGCAGAUCGAAAAACAAGACUUUACAACGAACCGUAAUAAAACUUGACUUUUUUCUGGCAUUUAAAUUGUGUAUAUUGUAUAUAGUUUUAUUUUUCUUCUCCCCUUUUCCUUUUCUAAUUUUUUUCUUAAUUAGAACAUUUAUUUAAGUUCUUAAUAUACAAUCUUUAUUUUUAUAACUGCAUUUUUGCACUUUGUUAUGCUGCUGUGACAAAAAAAAAAAAAUCCCCAGGGGGGAUCAAUAAAGGAAUAUUCUAUUCUAGUCUAUUCUAUCUGUGUGUCGUCUGCAUAGCAGUGAAAGGAGACUUUGUGGCACCGAAUUAAUUGGCCGAGGGGCAGCAUGUUGAUAGAAAAUAAAAUUGGACCUAAAACUGAACCUUGCGGUACACCACAGGCAAUAGCAGAGGUAGAGGAGGUGUGAUUACCUAUGGUGACCGCAAAGGUUCGCUCUAAAGAUACGACUGAAACCAGCUAAGUGCAGUGCCCCUGAUACCCACCCAGUUUUUAAGACGCUCAAUUAAAAUAGCAUGAUUAACUGUAUCAAAAGCUGCACUGAGAUCUAAAAGAAUUAAAAUUGAGCCCUCCCCUCUAUCUGCUGCUAAAAGAAGGUCAUUGGUCACACUGAGGAGGGCAGUCUCAGUGCUGUGACCUGCUCUAAAACCAGACUGAAAUUUCUCAAAGAGGUUACAUUCAGACAUAAAGCCUAAAAGCUGUUUAGAAACCACCUUCUCUAAAAGUUUGGAUGAAAAUGAAAGUUUUAAGAUUGGUCUAAAAUUGUUAAAAUCAGGGGGUCAAGGUUUGGCUUCUUUAAAGGGGUUGGACCACAGUGUGUUUAAAAUCAGAGGGAAAUACUCCCUCUGCCAGAGAGCCAUUAAUAAUGGAUAAAAUCCUAGGCCCAACCAUGUUAAAAACCUCUUUGAGAAAUCUGGUGGAGAUAAAUUCAAGACUGCACAUAGCUGGUUUUAUGUGGGCUAAAAUAUCAGAUAAAAAGGGUAAGGACACUGGUUCAAAGCUGCUAAAAUAUUGCAGAACUUCCCCACUUAAGAAUACAGGGAGACUGGGAGGGGUGAUUUGAUGCCUGAUGUCCAUGACCUUGUUAAUAAAAUGAGUUAAAAACUUCUCGCAGGUGUCUUGGGAAGCAUCAGUAAAAUAAGAGGGGGAACUGUUGGAAAGUGACUCUAAAACCUUAAAUAAAACUCUGGGGUUCAAAUAAUUAGCUAAAAUCAAAUUUGAGUAAAAUGCUGCCCUUGCAUCCUUAACUGCCUUCUGGUAAUUUUUCAUGGAGUCUCUCCAGAUUUCAACCACCAGACCAGUUUUCUUCCAUUUACGUUCAUUUCUUCGAUAUGCUCUCUUUAGUUCAUGUGUGGACUCUGUAAGCCAGGGCUGGGUUUUUUUGUUUGAUUUUUUUCUUUUUCAGAGGAGCUACAGAGUCCAGUAUGGUUCCACACAUAUUGUUAAAAAGAGAGACAAGCUCUUUAGUGUUUAAAACUGGAUUAAAAUCUGGGUUGAAGGCAGUUAAAGAUGCAGAGAUAAAGAGCUCCAAAAACUUGCAAGCAGAUGUUGCUUUACAAACCCUUCUAUAAACAGGAGUAUGAUCAGUAAAAGAAGGCUGGGAUAAACCAUGGAGAUUAAAACAUGUUUGUGAUGUGACACAGAGAUAUCCUUUGUUAAAAACUUCCAAGGACUCAGUCCAGUAAAUAAAACCAAAUCUUGGCAAUGUCUCUUUACAUGAGUUGGUUCCUGUAUUGCCUGGGUAAGAUUGAAGGAGUCCAGAGUUUCAAUAAAAUCAACAGUCAAGGGUUGUGAGGGACAACAGACAUGUACAUUAAAAUCACCCAAAUAAGAAUUUUGUCGUAUUUACAAAUAAAAAAGAAAAGAAACUCUGAAAACUCCUGAAUAAAAACAGCAUUAUGUUCGGUGUGGUCGGUAAUUGAUUAUGAUUAAAACAGGAUCUUUCAAUUUCACAACAAAAGCAAGGUGCGCAAAUGAACUAAAAGUGCUGAAGGUGAUGGGGGUGCAUUUAAAAUCCUUCUUGAAUAUGACAGCCACCCUCCCACCCCGGCCUGACUGCCGGGGCUAGUGGUGUGUUGGUCAUGAACGAACGGAUCAAAAUAACUAGUUCUUUUUGGUGAACGAAAUGAACCAGGUCACCCCCCCCCCCCCCCCAAAUGACCCGUUCAGUCCGUUCAGUUCUUUUGAUUGGCUGAAGAGUCAGUUCACUGGUCCUGAGGGCGGGACUAUCUCUGUGCUUGCCUGUCUUAUCCUAUCGUCGCGCCUCGCUCUGUGGGUGGAUGGGGCUUAGAGAAGCAGCAGCAGUCAGCUCAGUCAGUACUGAGCUGACUG